AUUGAACGCUGGCGGCAGGCCUAACACAUGCAAGUCGAACGAGUGGAGGACGGGUGAGUAAUGUCUGGGAAACUGCCCGAUGGAGGGGGAUAACUACUGGAAACGGUAGCUAAUACCGCAUAUCCUCGGCUCUGUACAGAUGGGAUUUGCGAGUAGGUGGGGUAACGGCGCACCUAGGCGACGAUCCCUAGCUGGUCUGAGAGGAUGACCAGCCACACGGGAACUGAGACACGGUCCAGACUCAUACGGGAGGCAGCAGUGGGGAAUAUUGCACAAUGGGCGCAAGCCGGAUGGAGCAAUGCCGAGUGUAUGAAGAAGGCCGUCGGGUUGUAAAGUACUUGCAUCGGUGAGGCGUUACCUACAGAGGAAGCACCGGCUAACUCCGUGACAGCAGCGGAGGUAAUAC
RNAcentral lists this ribosomal RNA (406 nucleotides) under uncultured bacterium. RNAcentral's name for it is "partial 16S ribosomal RNA". It matches the Rfam family "Bacterial small subunit ribosomal RNA", at positions 29 to 526 of the family's 1533-position model. The record is from RNAcentral.